GACGAACGCUGGCGGCGUGCUUAACACAUGCAAGUCGAACGGUAAGGCCCUUCGGGGUACACGAGUGGCGAACGGGUGAGUAACACGUGAGCAACCUGCCCCUGACUCUGGGAUAAGCGCUGGAAACGGCGUCUAAUACUGGAUAUGUGAUGUGACCGCAUGGUCUGCAUCUGGAAAGAAGGUCGGUUGGGGAUGGGCUCGCGGCCUAUCAGCUUGUUGGUGAGGUAAUGGCUCACCAAGGCGUCGACGGGUAGCCGGCCUGAGAGGGUGACCGGCCACACUGGGACUGAGACACGGCCCAGACUCCUACGGGAGGCAGCAGUGGGGAAUAUUGCACAAUGGGCGGAAGCCUGAUGCAGCAACGCCGCGUGAGGGAUGACGGCCUUCGGGUUGUAAACCUCUUUUAGCAGGGAAGAAGCGAAAGUGACGGUACCUGCAGAAAAAGCACCGGCUAACUACGUGCCAGCCGCCGCAGUAA
RNAcentral lists this ribosomal RNA (478 nucleotides) under uncultured bacterium. Its description in RNAcentral is "partial 16S ribosomal RNA". It matches the Rfam family "Bacterial small subunit ribosomal RNA", at positions 28 to 523 of the family's 1533-position model. The record is from RNAcentral.